RNAcentral lists this ribosomal RNA (464 nucleotides) under Conotrachelus sp. SPN-002. Its description in RNAcentral is "partial 16S ribosomal RNA". Lineage: Eukaryota; Metazoa; Arthropoda; Insecta; Coleoptera; Curculionidae. The record is from RNAcentral.
UAACAAAAACAUGUUUUUUUGAUUAUAAUUUAAAGUUUGACCUGCCCAAUGAUUUUUAAAUGGCCGCGGUAUUUUGACCGUGCAAAGGUAGCAUAAUCAUUAGUUUUUUAAUUGAAAGCUGGAAUGAAAGGUUGAAUGAAAAAAUAACUGUCUCUAUUUAAGUUGAUUAGAAUUUUAUUUUUAAGUAAAAAAGCUUAAAUAUUUAUAAAAGACGAGAAGACCCUAUAGAGUUUUAUAAUUUUUUUUUUUAUUUUUUUUUGGUAUUUAAAGUUUUAAUUUUAAGAAUUAUUUAAUUGGGGUGAUUGAAAAAUUAAGUUAACUUUUUUUGUAUUUUAACAUUUAUUUAUGAGUAUUUGAUCCUUAUUUAAAGAUUAAAAGAAUAAAUUACCUUAGGGAUAACAGCGUAAUUUUUUUUUAAAGUUCUAAUCGAAAGAAAAAAUUGCGACCUCGAUGUUGGAUUAAAA